Molecule: ribosomal RNA, 429 nt
Filed under: Bacteroidota bacterium
Lineage: Bacteria; Pseudomonadati; Bacteroidota
Description: Bacteroidetes bacterium partial 16S ribosomal RNA
Rfam family: Bacterial small subunit ribosomal RNA
Source: RNAcentral
UAGGGAAUCUUCGGCAAUGGGGGGAACCCUGACCGAGCAACGCCGCGUGAGUGAAGAAGGAUUUCGGUUCGUAAAACUCUGUUGUUAGAGAAGAACAGCGCAUAGAGUAACUGUUAUGCGUGUGACGGUAUCUAACCAGAAAGCCACGGCUAACUACGUGCCAGCAGCCGCGGUAAUACGUAGGUGGCAAGCGUUGUCCGGAUUUAUUGGGCGUAAAGCGAGCGCAGGCAGUCAAUUGAGUCCGAUGUGAAAGCCCCCGGCUCAACCGGGGAGGGUCAUUGGAAACUGGUUGACUUGAGUGCAGAAGAGGAGAGUGGAAUUCCAUGUGUAGCGGUGAAAUGCGUAGAUAUAUGGAGGAACACCAGUGGCGAAGGCGAAUCUCUGGUCUGUAACUGACGCUGAGGUUCGAAAGCGUGGGUAGCAAACAGG